GCAAUCUGCGGCUCGCGCACGGCAAUCGCACGGUUUUCCUGAGCCUGCUCGGCAUUUCGUGGCUGUGGUUCGUGGGCGCGACCUUUCUGGCGUCGUUCUUCAAUUUCGCGAAGGACGUGCUG
Small RNA from Paraburkholderia tropica, 122 nucleotides. It matches the Rfam family "Burkholderia RNA 11". From Rfam's summary of the family: Co-purified with Hfq, expression confirmed by Northern blot. The record is from Rfam. Lineage: Bacteria; Pseudomonadati; Pseudomonadota; Betaproteobacteria; Burkholderiales; Burkholderiaceae.